GAAUUUUGGACAAUGGGGGAAACCCUGAUCCAGCCAUCCCGCGUGUAUGAUGAAGGCCUUCGGGUUGUAAAGUACUUUUGGCAGAGAAGAAAAGGUACCUACUAAUACGAGGUACUGCUGACGGUAUCUGCAGAAUAAGCCACGGCCCACUACGUGCCAGAAGCCGCGCUAAUACGUAGGGUGCAAGCGUUAAUCGGAAUUACUGGGCCUAAAGCGUGUGUAGGCGGUUCGGAAAGAAAGAUGUGAAAGCCCAGGGCUCAACCUUGGAACUGCAUUUUUAACUGCCGAGCUAGAGUAUGUCAGAGGGGGGUAGAAUUCCACGUGUAGCAGUGAAAUGCGUAGAUAUGUGGAGGAAUACCGAUGGCGAAGGCAGCCCCCUGGGAUAAUACUGACGCUCAGACACGAAAGCGUGGGGAGCAAACAG
Molecule: ribosomal RNA, 424 nt
Filed under: uncultured bacterium
Lineage: Bacteria
Description: partial 16S ribosomal RNA
Rfam family: Bacterial small subunit ribosomal RNA
Source: RNAcentral